Molecule: long non-coding RNA, 1718 nt
Organism: Oncorhynchus kisutch (coho salmon)
Lineage: Eukaryota; Metazoa; Chordata; Actinopteri; Salmoniformes; Salmonidae
Exons: 3
Source: RefSeq, a predicted model, not a curated record
ACAAAAUGUGGGAGGCACGGUAUGGAGCAUGAUUUAGCCUCUGCAUGUCUCAGGGGUUCUGUAAAUGGGUCACACUCUCCAUAUGAAGCCGACCACAUUUUCGGAUCAAGCAUAAAUGGGCAUUUAGAAAGCAAUAGCUGCAACACUGGUGUUUAAAAUGAAAAGGCACCUGAACCUGAAAAGGAAGCGCUUCGCGGUUACAAUGUAGUGUAAGGUAUCUGUAUGCGCCUGUAACGGUUGUCUUGGGAAGAAGGAAAGGACCAAAGUUUGGAGGAGAUCCAGAGCCAAUUCCUGGGGCGGUGCAGGUCAGGGUCACUGGUUCUCCCUCUGUCAGAGGAGGAGUCAACACUGAGGGCAGUAGUGGGCAGCCACAACUACCACCACCACCAACAGCAUCACCCUGGACCAUCGCCUUCAGUCCAGCAAAGAUAACAGGAGAGAAGGGACUAUGUGCUGUCAUUUCAUGCACCUUCAAUCAUGCAGAGAACUUCAAACCUACUGCAGCAAUAUGGUUAAAAUGUCCUAAAAAUGGCAAAUGUGAUCAGGAUGAAAAUAUAAUUAUAUUGAAACUCCCUCUGAAACUCCCUCUGAAGCUCAGGAGGGUUAUAAACAGAGAGUGUCUCUACUGGAGACCGAUCGGACAAAGAAGAACUGUAGUGUGAUCAUCAACGACAUCAGAGAGAACGACACUGGAGAGUAUCAAUUCAGACUGCUAAGUGCAUAUACAUACCCCAAGAAAGUGAAAAUCACAGUGAAAGGUACUUCAUUGCUAUUAUUACCAGUUACAGUGACAGACUAUUACUGUAGUUCAUUGUAUACAGUUCACCACUUGCCAAGUUCCAGCUCAACAUAUAUCUGAAAGAAAAUGGAUGUAGCAACUACAGAUUUCCCUUUUAAGUCUAUCAAAAGUGUGGAAGUUUGAGCAUGUGUCCAUUAGGCCUCUAUGGAUCUUUUUUUUUUAAAUCAGCAUGAAUUAGAUUGACCAAUAAAAGCCCACUUUUAUUCCAUAGGCUUGGAUCCUCACUAUUCAGCUUUUGCAAGAGCGCAUUUUUCACUGGCUGUCCACUGGUUUCAAAAACAGCUUAAACUUCCUGAAUUCAACCAUUAUAUGUUUCCAAUACACAUUUAGAUUUGUGAAAAGCCGUCCACACCAACCACAAUCCGUGCGGGGCAAAUAGCUGAAUGAGAGAGGAGCAGUGUGAUUCACGUCAAUGCGCUAUGUAGAUAUCGAUAAUAAGUCAUAUCCGUAUCGCCGUAGACUACACCACUGCUGUCAGCCUUACCUCCAAUAGUUUAUUCAUGUUGGAUAAUCUUUGGAUGCCGACAGCAGUCGCACCAUUGGAAGACAUAGCUUGGACUGUAACCUACAAAAGCCUAUUCCUGCUCUUUUCCCGCGAUUCAUCAAACACAUUUGGUGUGUCAUCAUAGUGGUCUCUAACUUGUAGUCAGACUCGCGCCUUUUCUCAUUGCUGAUUUGAAUGUCAUUGAGAAAACAGAGCAGUGUGAACCAUUUUUUUUGCAAACAUCCUUUCUGAAUUCAAUCAUCUUGUUUUUCAAAAGUAUCUGUAAUCUGAUUACAAUAAUCUUGCUGGUAAAAUGCACUUCCAUCCCUUCCAUGUAACGGAUUACAUAUAAUCCAUUACUCCCCAACCCUGCUCCUCCCCAACCCUGCUCCUCCCCAACCCUGCUACUCCCCAACCCUGCUCCUCCCCAACCCU